Molecule: ribosomal RNA, 253 nt
Filed under: uncultured bacterium
Lineage: Bacteria
Description: partial 16S ribosomal RNA
Rfam family: Bacterial small subunit ribosomal RNA
Source: RNAcentral
UACGGAGGGUGCAAGCGUUGUCCGGAUUUAUUGGGUUUAAAGGGUGCGUAGGUGGCCUUAUAAGUCAGCGGUGAAAGUCUGCAGCUUAACUGUAGAACUGCCAUUGAUACUGUAAGGCUUGAGUACUGAUGAGGUAGGCGGAAUUGAUAGUGUAGCGGUGAAAUGCUUAGAUAUCGUCAAGAACACCGAUAGCGAAGGCAGCUUACUAGGCUGUAGCUGACGCUGAGGCACGAAAGUGUGGGGAUCAAACAGG